RNAcentral lists this ribosomal RNA (492 nucleotides) under uncultured bacterium. RNAcentral describes it as "partial 16S ribosomal RNA". It matches the Rfam family "Bacterial small subunit ribosomal RNA", at positions 29 to 507 of the family's 1533-position model. The record is from RNAcentral.
AUUGAACGCUGGCGGCAUGCUUUACACAUGCAAGUCGAACGGUAACAGGCCUUCGGGUGCUGACGAGUGGCGAACGGGUGAGUAAUGCAUCGGAACGUACCCAGAGGUGGGGGAUAACGCAGCGAAAGCUGUGCUAAUACCGCAUGUGAUCUGAGGAUGAAAGCGGGGGACCGAGCAGCAAUGUUUGGCCUCGCGCCUUUGGAGCGGCCGAUGUCGGAUUAGCUAGUUGGUGGGGUAAAGGCCUACCAAGGCGACGAUCCGUAGCUGGUCUGAGAGGACGACCAGCCACACUGGGACUGAGACACGGCCCAGACUCCUACGGGAGGCAGCAGUGGGGAAUUUUGGACAAUGGGCGCAAGCCUGAUACAGCAAUGCCGCGUGCGGGAAGAAGGCCUUCGGGUUGUAAACCGCUUUUGGCAGGAACGAAACGGUGUCCGCUAAUACCGGGCGCUAAUGACGGUACCUGCAGAAUAAGCACCGGCUAACUACGUG